GUGCCAGCAGCCGCGGUAAAACGUAGGGGGCGAGCGUUAUCCGGAUUUACUGGGCGUAAAGCGCGUGCAGGCGGCUUGGUAGGUUGGACGUGAAAGCUCCUGGCUCAACUGGGAGAGGCCGUUCAAUACCGCCAGGCUCGAGGGCGGAAGAGGGAAGCGGAAUUCCCGGUGUAGUGGUGGAAUGCGUAGAUAUCGGGAGGAACACCUGUGGCGAAGGCGGCUUCCUGGUCCGUACCUAACGCUAAGACGCGAAAGCGUGGGGAGCGAACGGGAUUAGAAACCCUGGUAGUCC
RNAcentral lists this ribosomal RNA (292 nucleotides) under uncultured bacterium. RNAcentral's name for it is "partial 16S ribosomal RNA". It matches the Rfam family "Bacterial small subunit ribosomal RNA", at positions 505 to 796 of the family's 1533-position model. The record is from RNAcentral.